This 253-nucleotide ribosomal RNA is filed under the name uncultured bacterium. RNAcentral describes it as "partial 16S ribosomal RNA". It matches the Rfam family "Bacterial small subunit ribosomal RNA", at positions 524 to 776 of the family's 1533-position model. The record is from RNAcentral.
UACGUAGGGUGCGAGCGUUGUCCGGAAUUAUUGGGCGUAAAGGGCUCGUAGGCGGUCUGUUGCGUCGGCUGUGAAAACCCGGGGCUCAACCCCGGGCCUGCAGCCGAUACGGGCAGACUAGAGUUCGGCAGGGGAGACUGGAAUUCCUGGUGUAGCGGUGAAAUGCGCAGAUAUCAGGAGGAACACCGGUGGCGAAGGCGGGUCUCUGGGCCGAUACUGACGCUGAGGAGCGAAAGCGUGGGGAGCGAACAGG